Molecule: ribosomal RNA, 1314 nt
Filed under: Phyllothelys sp. 1 JZ-2017
Lineage: Eukaryota; Metazoa; Arthropoda; Insecta; Mantodea; Hymenopodidae
Also listed under: 1 other name
Description: 16S ribosomal RNA
Rfam family: Archaeal large subunit ribosomal RNA (bases 1067-1227)
Source: RNAcentral
AAUUAAUAUGAUUGUUUUAAUUGGAUAUUUAUUUAAAAUUUAAAUUAAAUAAAUUUGUGUUAUUGUAGAAUAAAUUGAUAAAAUUUUAUUUACUAUAGUGAAUUAAGUACUGUAAAGGAAAUAUUUUGAAUAAUAUAAUUAAAUAAAGGUAAUUUAAUUAAUUGUAUCUUGUGUAUUAGAAUAUAUUAAAAUGAAUUAAAUAUUAUUUUUUCUCGAAUUUUAAUGAUUUAAUUGAGUAUUUUAGUUAUUGUAUUAAAAAUAUUAAGGAUACUUAAUUGGUAAUGAUAUGUUAAUCGUUUUUUAGGAUAUCUAGUUUUUUAAUAAAUGAAUUUAAAUCAGAAAAUUUAAGUUAUUUAAUAUUUUAUUAUAUUAGAUAUUUUAUAUUUUUAAUUUUAAAAGGGAUAAACUUUUUAAAAUAUAAUUAUAAUAAGUUUAUUAUGGAGGAUUUUGUUAAUUUAAAAUUUGUUAUUAAGUGAAGUAUGUUAAAAUUUAAUUCUAUUUUUUGAUAGAUUUUUAAUUAUUAUUUAAUUUGUAUAUUAAAAUGUUAAAUUGAAUAUUGAGAAUUUUGGGGAUUAUGAUUUAAUUAGUAAAAAAUGAUUGUAUUAAUAUUAAUUUUUUUUUGAAUGUUAAUAUGAAGAAUUAGGCAAAAUAUUUUGCUCACCUGUUUAUUAAAAACAUGGUUUCUUGUAAUUAUUUAGGAGAUCUAACCUGCCCACUGAAAAAUAUAAUUGAAGGGCCGCAGUAAUUUGACUGUGCAAAGGUAGCAUAAUCAUUAGUCUUUUAAUUAAAGGCUGGUAUGAAUGGUUGGAUGAAGUGGAUGCUGUUUUAUAAUAAUUAUUAGAAUUUAGAUUUUAAGUAAAAAGACUUAAAUGUUAUUAAGGGACGAGAAGACCCUAUAGAGUUUAAUAAAUAUAUUGUUUAAUUAAGUUAAUAAAUAAUUUUUGGUUAUUAUGAAAUUUAUUUAAUUGGGGUGAUUAGAAAUUAAGUUUAACAUUUUUUUAAUUUAAAUAUUUUUGUGAAUUUAAAUGAUCCAUAAUUAGUGAUUAAAAGAUUAAAUUACCUUAGGGAUAACAGCAUAAUUUCUUUUGAGAGUUCAUAUUAAAAAAGAAGAUUAUGACCUCGAUGUUGGAUUAAGAUUAGUUUUGGGUGUAGAUGUUCAAUAUUACUAGGUCUGUUCGACCUUUAAAAUCUUACAUGAUCUGAGUUUAAACCGGUGUAAGCCAGGUUGGUUUUUAUCUUUAUUUUUUUAUAAUAUUUUAGUACGAGAGGACCGAAUAUUUAAAAUAAUUUUUGUUGAUUGAAUGUUACUAAUAA